CCUGACGACCAUAGCAAGGUGGUACCACUCCUUCCCAUCCCGAACAGGACAGUGAAACGCCUUCGCGCCGAUGAUAGUGGACGGACGUCUGUGAAAG
This 97-nucleotide ribosomal RNA is filed under the name Achromobacter deleyi. The record is from RNAcentral. RNAcentral also lists the same sequence under 3 other names. Lineage: Bacteria; Pseudomonadati; Pseudomonadota; Betaproteobacteria; Burkholderiales; Alcaligenaceae.